Molecule: non-coding RNA, 73 nt
Organism: Stegodyphus mimosarum
Lineage: Eukaryota; Metazoa; Arthropoda; Arachnida; Araneae; Eresidae
Source: Rfam
GCCUUCGUGGUGUAGUGGUGAGUACGCUCGACCCGUAACUGAGAGGUCCGUAGUUCGAUUCCCGGCGAAGGCG